ACAUUGGAUACAUGCUACAGUGAAAGAGGGCAUCAAGGAGCACAUUCGAUCUUACCCAAGAACCCAGAACCACUACUCUGAGAUGAAGGGGGAUGUACACAGAGAAUACCUCAGCCCUGAUCUGAAUUUGUUGCGAAUGUACCGACUCUACAAAGAGAAGAAUACCACAUCAUCUGCAAAAUUCUGGGUUUAUAGGGACAUUUUCAAACAGCAGAGUCUCAAUUUUGGCCAACCCAGGAGUGACACCUGUGGCAAAUGUGACGCAUUCUUCACUAAGAUGUCAGCAGCAACAUCUGAAGAGGAGAAGAGGAAGAUUGCAGUUGAAAGUGAGUUGCACCAUCGAAGCCGAAAAGGCCUACACACAGCUUCAAAGUGACACUGAGUGGGCUAAAGCCAAUCCUGACUGCCAUGUAAUUUCUGUGGAUCUACAGGGGGUGAUGUACAGCCCUAAUCUGACCCACUCUGAUGUCCACUACCAGCGGCAGCUGUCAAAUUUUAACAUUUGCAUCCAGGAACUUGGAAAAGAAGAUCCUGCAUACAUGUGUGUUUGGCAUGAGGGGAUUGCACACCGAGGGUCCAUUGAGGUGGCAAGCUGCAUAUUGAAGUGGGUGAAGACAAAAUUCACGCCACUCACCAAACCAGAGGUGCGCAAGUUGAUCAUCUUCAGUGACAGAUGCUGUGGGCAGAAUAAGAACUGAUGGAUGCUCAAUCUGAUGUCGAUACUCGUCUCUAUGGGUUACUUUACCCAAGUUGAGCAGAAGUUCAUGGUCUCUGGUCAUCCUUUUCUUCCUUGUGAUGGAUCUUUUGCCACCAUCGUGAAGAGGCGCAAGGUGUCAGUCCUUCAUACAACUGAUGAUGUUUCAAAGAUGAUACUUGAAGCACAACCAGCAAAACCAUUCAAGUUGAGGAUCCUUGGAAUCUGUACGCCAAACAGAGCCACAGUCUAUUUGAGGGAUGGAAGUCGUGGCUGAUCUCCAAACCAAAACAAGGAGCUACACCUCAACCUCCCUAUUUUGCGAGCCACUACCCUAGAGCAUAUGAGAGUCCUCUGCCCAUUAAAAAAAAAAACAAGUACCAAGAUCUGAUGACCAUGAUCAACGACUUGCCAGCUGCUGCACGCUCUUUUUAUAAAUCACUGCAGAGUGAAUAAUUUGAUGUUAAACCAAGCUACGUAAUUAACCGUUUUUUCUGUGAGUUUGAUCCCCUGAACCUGUAUAGAAUGUUUAAUCUGAAUACAUUUCAGAAGACAUGUCACCCCUAUUGUAGGAAGUUAAAUGUGUAGUACGUGUUUUCUAUGUGAAUCAAUGUGUAUGCAAUGUGUACAGCACAAUAUAUUGAAUUCAUUUUAAGAUGUUCCUAGUGUAGAAAAUGUUAUGUACAAUGUGUUCUGUUGAGAAUUAUUUUGUGUGUGAUCAUUUGAACUUUUUUUAAUCGGAAUUAAUUAAAAACAAAAGUCAUCACAUACAGUAUGUGAUUAUUCAUUUGAUCUUGAUUCCCUCUUUUUUUUAUUCAUUACAAUAUACAGUACAUCUCUCUGUCACCACAUUUAUCAUUAACUCUAAGCAGUUAAUACUUAUGAGAGUCCUCUGUCCAUCAGUCCUCUGCCCCUCAGUACAGAAGGACAUUUCUUGUUUUUAGCAUGGGUUUAACGCAAUUCAAAACUUAAUUGCUGAUCAUAGUGUUAAACGCAAAGAGAAUGGUUUUCUGAACGUUUUGUAAUAUUGACCUUCGGGACCUGCAUAAUGGACAUGCAUGUUGGCACAUCACAUUGAUCCAUAUUUAAUAUGUACAAGUUGGGCUUGUUUUGAUUUAAUUAAUUUAAUUGUAUUCUAUUUUUGUAGUUAUUCUAUGGUAUGUUCACAUUGAGGACUUCAUUUUAAAUGAGACUAAGAUUUCAUGACUCAACUUUUAAGAAAGUAAUCAGUGCUAAAGUUGAUAGACCACCUUUAAAUGAACCUCCAUACAAAUUAAUGAACUACAUAUUGUAUUUAAGUUAUUUACAUGAAGGGCAUCUGUACUUAACAUAUCAGGUGUUAAAAAAGUACAUCUUACAAGAGUCAUGCAAAAUGUCACAUAUGCUGUUCUUCCACAAACUGAAAUCAUCACUGGAGAUAUACUGUUCUUCCACAAA
Non-coding RNA from Oncorhynchus mykiss (rainbow trout), 2131 nucleotides. Lineage: Eukaryota; Metazoa; Chordata; Actinopteri; Salmoniformes; Salmonidae. The record is from RefSeq and is a predicted model, not a curated record.